Molecule: transfer RNA, 73 nt
Filed under: Candidatus Pelagibacter sp. IMCC9063
Lineage: Bacteria; Pseudomonadati; Pseudomonadota; Alphaproteobacteria; Candidatus Pelagibacterales; Candidatus Pelagibacteraceae
Rfam family: tRNA
About the family: Transfer RNA (tRNA) molecules are approximately 80 nucleotides in length. Their secondary structure includes four short double-helical elements and three loops (D, anti-codon, and T loops).
Source: Rfam by way of RNAcentral
GGUCUGAUAGCUCAGUUGGUAGAGCAGAGCCCUGAAAAGGCUUGUGUCGGUGGUUCAAGUCCACCUCAGACCA